This 1216-nucleotide ribosomal RNA is filed under the name uncultured Rhizaria. RNAcentral describes it as "SSU rRNA". It matches the Rfam family "Eukaryotic small subunit ribosomal RNA", at positions 577 to 1804 of the family's 1831-position model. The record is from RNAcentral.
CGGUAAUUCCAGCUCCAAUAGCGUAUACUAAAGUUGUUGCAGUUAAAAAGCUCGUAGUUGGAUUUCUGCGGGGACGGAGCGGCCGGACGCAACUUGCGUCUCGAGCUAGCGCUUUCCCCGCAUCCUGCCGCGAACCGUGCUACCAUUAGCUUGGUGGCGCUGGGGAUCGGCUCGAUUACUUUGAGAAAAAUAGAGUGUUCAAAGCAGGCCACACGCCUUGAAUAAGUUAGCAUGGAAUAAUGACUAAGGACUUUGGUUCUUUUCGUUGGUGUUCGGGACUGAAGUAAUGAUUGAUAGGGACAGUUGGGGCGGUCUGUAUUCCAAAGCGAGAGGUGAAAUUCUUAGACCUUCGGAAGACAAACAGCUGCGAAAGCGUUCCGCAAGGAUGUUCCCUUUGAUCAAGAACGAAAGUUGGGGGAUCGAAGACGAUCAGAUACCGUCGUAGUCUCAACUAUAAACUAUACCAGCUAGGGAUCGGCCAACGUUUAAUUAUUCGACUUGGUCGGCACCUUAUGAGAAAUCAAAGCAUCUGGGUUCCGGGGGGAGUAUGGUCGCAAGGCUGAAACUUAAAGGAAUUGACGGAAGGGCACCACCAGGCGUGGAGCCUGUGGCUUAAUUUGACUCAACACGGGAAAACUUACCAGGUCCAGACAUAGGAAGGAUUGACAGAUUGAUAGCUCUUUCUUGAUUCUGUGGGUGGUGGUGCAUGGCCGUUUUUAGUCGGUGAAGUGAUUUGUCUGCUUAAUUGCGUUAACGGACGAGACCCCAGCCUGCUAAAUAGCGCGGCCGAGCUUUGCUCGGUGCGAGCUUCUUAGAGGGACCAUGAUGCGCGAUAGCACAAGGAAGUUUGGGGCAACAACAGGUCUGUGAUGCCCUUAGAUGUUCUGGGCCGCACACGGGCUACACUGGCGCCUGCAACGAGCAUAUCAGCUGGCCCGAGAGGGUCUUGGCUAAUCUUUGGAACCGGCGCCGUGCUUGGGAUUGACCAUUGCAAUUGUUGGUCAUGCAACGAGGAAUGCCUUGUAAACGCGAGUCAUCAGCUCGCAUUGAAUACGUCCCUGCCCUUUGUACACACCGCCCGUCGUUCCUACCGAUGAAUGUUCCGAUGAAAUUUUCGGAGAGCGCCGGAGAACGGGGCUCUGCCCUGCAGAACUGGAGGCUCAAAGUCACUUAAAUCUGAACAUUUCGAGGAAGGAGAAGUCGUAACAAGGUAACC